This 3166-nucleotide long non-coding RNA is filed under the name Citrus maxima (pomelo). Its description in RNAcentral is "long non-coding RNA (CMAX_LNC000982)". Lineage: Eukaryota; Viridiplantae; Streptophyta; Magnoliopsida; Sapindales; Rutaceae. The record is from RNAcentral.
AACAAAAAAAAAUAGUCAAAGUGUGAAUUUAUUAUCUAAUAUUAGGGUUUAUUUAUCAUGAUGAAGACACAAGGUAAUUGUAAUUGGUCAUAAAGAGGCAACGAAAAGUGCAUCAUCUCGUCACAUGCAUAAUAAAUAGUGUGAAUUUGUACAACAAUUAAUAAUUUUAGUUUUUUUUAGAAGCCCAGAAGAGGGCGCACGCACCUCGAGUCACCAAUAUUCCAACUCGUUGUCAUGAAUAACUAACGUGGAGCUUGUCCAACCUGUGCACUGAACUUGUUUACUUGUGGGGGGGAAAAAUAAAGAAAAAAGAAAGAAAGAAAGCGACCGUACACUAUUCUUUGAACAUAUCUUUUACCUUUGCAUCAUUAAUUUUGAAUCAGAGAAAGAGAGAGUCGUUAUACCUGGGUGCAUGCAUCCUCGUUAUAAUCGAUUCCUGCGUGACUGGUUGUCGCAUAAUGUGAUUUAUUGUGUUGUGUGUUUGAAACAUUGAAAGCGAAGUAGGGUGUUGAGUUCCAUGCAAACCCUUGUCAAAUGAAGAGUCCCCUGCUUAUACCUCACAUUCGUUGUCUGUUCGACCUCAAAAUAUUUCUAUAUUAGAACUAUUUCAUUGUUGUUAAUUUGAUAACUAACCAGUUUAUUAUUUUUUAUUCUCCAAAUUAAGAUUAACGAUAAAAGUUACAAAAAUGAUAUCAAAAUUCUACUCCAAAAGAACGUGUUUCGGGAAUUGGAUCAUAGGUAAAGGAUGAAAGGAUCUGAAUGAAGUCUAGAUAUUAGUAGUAAAUACACGUGCCAUGCUGAGACGGCUACGAUGGAAAAGCGUUUUGUGUAGGAAAAACUUAACGCGUAAACCUAACACGAAACUCAAACCUACCACACACUUCACUGUUUGUGGCAUUCCAGCAUUAAUGGUAUAUUUUGUCGCGGUAGUAGGUACCAAGAUCCUAAAAACAAAAAUCAUUGGGUUCUUUGAUCAUGUCCUUUCCUAGUUCCUCCAGAUCCGCAUCUUUUAAAAUACUGACAUUCAUACAUGAAAAUAUAUAAUAAUAAUAAUAAUAAUAAUAAUAAUAAUAACCAUAAUAAUAGAAUUAUAUUUUUAUUUAGUGCUACCGAAUUCAACUUAUAGAAAGAUGCUCUACUUUUCAAAAAAAAAAGAAAGAUGCUCUAAGAGUAUUUCCAACAUAGAAAUUACCUAAAAGAAAAAGUAAUUUAAGUUUUUUUUUUUAAAAAAAUUAUUAUUUUAACCCAAAAAAAAGUUGCUUGAACUAUUGCAGAUGAUGCAUGAGAGUGUUAGUGUCUAAUCGAAUUGAUCUAUUAUUCUAUUGUAUUGGCCAUUUAAAGCGGAGAAGGUCUUUGAUGCAAUUAGAAUUGUGCUCUUCAUUCAUUCACUAUUUAUCACAUGUAAAUGUGCUCUUCAUUCAUUCACUAUUUAUCACAUGUAAAUGUGUAUUAUUUUAAUUAGUUGAAUCAUACCCAUCAAAGAGUGAAUUAAAAAAAGAAAAAUACUCUAAAAGCACUAAAAAACUUUCCUUUUGAGCAACAUAAAAUAAUCGACAAUUAAAGGCACAUGCUAAGCUGUAACUGAGUAAUUAAUAUAUAAGCCAGAACAGCUCUCUUCUUAAAUAUGGCAGCAAAGGUUCUCAUUCUACAAUGUAUCCAACACCUUGGUGCAUAUACAACAAUUUGGCAAAGAAAGAUGUUCAAAUUCAACUGUUUUAUUUAUUUUAAUCUCUAUGAAAUAAACCCUUAGAGGGAAUUAAUACAGGAUGAAGGAAGACAAAAAGAGCAUGAGAACCCCCAGAUUUAAGGAAGGAAAAUUCAAGCGACGAUAGACUUUAUAUAGUUAUUUAUCAAUUUGCAAAUCAUACACAUCACCAUGUUUCUAUCCUAGAUGCUUGUUAAAAUCAAACCGUACCCAAUUUAAACCACAGAACGAAAUAAAUCUUUCUUCUUUUAUUGGGUAUUGAACGAGGAUAAAAAGAUAUUUGUUUCCGAUGCAAAGAGAAAGUGCUAUAAUUAAAUAGAUUGAAAAAAAAAAAAAAAAAAAAGGACCAGCUAGUUUAGAGUUCGAUGAGAAACAUCAGGUCCUGAAAAAGGUGUCAGUCUGAUGCAAAAUUUUAAUUGAAAAAGAAAAAAAGAAGUAAAAGAUUUUGUACAUACGCAGAAACAGUUUUAUCAUAUCACAACUUAAUUCUUAUCAGUUAUCAUAUCUUUCUACUUUUUUAGAGCACCUGAAAGUCAGAUGUAAAGCUGUAACUUACAACUUGCAGAAAACACAAACGUUAUUGAUCUAUAUGUAUCUAUCUAUGCUUUUAAAUGUUUACACCUAACUAACAGGCUAACUUGUUUAUUUAUAUACAUAUUUAUAUAUUUGCACAGGCAUCCGCAUGCACACAGGUAAUUUCUUACUUUAGAUGUAGAUUCAAGGAAAAACGUUUUCCUAGAAGAGAAAUUUAUGAUUCUAAUUGUGAUAAAUUUCAGAGGUGCGAUCGAGUGAGCUAGUUUGAAGCUGAUUGAUCUAAAAAGACUUUGGAAAUUGAUAAUAUCUAAAUAUGAUCUAAGAAGAUUUUAGGAAUUGAUAUAAUAUGAUCUAAAAAGAUUUUAAUUAGGUCAUAGCUAGGUUAUAUCUAAUUAACUGGGGUUUUUUCAUAAGGUCUAACAACAUAUGUAUGUUCAAGGUCGAACAGACAACGAGGCAAAGGUUAACUCGCAAAAGACCGCUCACUUGACAAGCAUAGCAUGGAAUCCACUCACCUGUUGAUUGAUUAUUCAAAUCCUCUCAUCCAAUUUUUGAUAUACGUAUAGUUCUAUCAUAUGUGAAAACCCACCUGAAAACAAAAAAAAAAAAACGAAAAAAAUAUAUAUAGUGAAACUGAGCUCUCUAAAUCAAGCUUAAAUAAAGGUAAUUAAAACAAUUAAAGCUGGAGAUUAUCAAACUAUAAGAACGCAAGGAAAUGAAGAAUAAGAAUAUACCAAUUAGUAUUAGUUCUCUUUGGCCACAGUUAUUCGAAAACCAUGUAGCUGGUUUUGUGUGUUCUGUGCAAAGGGAACAAGGUAGAUUAUAUAGGGAUAAGAUGAAGAAAAGGCUUGAUGUGUUUGAGUAUGUGUCCUUUUUUGUAUGAAUCUGAUACAUUUGGCUUAGCUCGUGAGACGCUUUGACUAGCUG